This 253-nucleotide ribosomal RNA is filed under the name uncultured bacterium. Its description in RNAcentral is "partial 16S ribosomal RNA". It matches the Rfam family "Bacterial small subunit ribosomal RNA", at positions 524 to 776 of the family's 1533-position model. The record is from RNAcentral.
UACGUAGGCAGCAAGCGUUGUUCGGAGUUAUUGGGCGUAAAGCGCUGGUAGGUGGCUUGUUAAGUCGCGUGUGAAAUCUCCAGGCUCAACCUGGAAAGUGCGCGCGAAACUGGCGAGCUUGAGUGCCGGAGAGGGUCGCGGAAUUCCCAGUGUAGAGGUGAAAUUCGUAGAUAUUGGGAGGAACACCAGAGGCGAAGGCGGCGACCUGGAAGGUAACUGACACUGAGCAGCGAAAGCGUGGGGAGCAAACAGG